AAUAGGAGAAUGAUAAAUUAAAUUUUUACUCUUGAUUUUUAGUAUUUUUCUCCUGAAAAAUUUCAAAUUCAACUAAAAAUACUAAAAAUCAGGGGAGGAAAUCUGAUUUGUCGUUCUCUUAUU
This 123-nucleotide microRNA precursor is filed under the name Gossypium hirsutum (cotton). RNAcentral's name for it is "MIR7504 microRNA precursor family". It matches the Rfam family "MIR7504 microRNA precursor family". Lineage: Eukaryota; Viridiplantae; Streptophyta; Magnoliopsida; Malvales; Malvaceae. The record is from Rfam by way of RNAcentral.